UGGUGUGGAUUUUGAGGGAAUUCAAAGUA
RNAcentral lists this non-coding RNA (29 nucleotides) under Homo sapiens (human). The record is from RNAcentral. Lineage: Eukaryota; Metazoa; Chordata; Mammalia; Primates; Hominidae.